RNAcentral lists this non-coding RNA (24 nucleotides) under Mus musculus (house mouse). Lineage: Eukaryota; Metazoa; Chordata; Mammalia; Rodentia; Muridae. RNAcentral also lists the same sequence under 1 other name. The record is from RNAcentral.
CAGGAAGUAGAGAAUGUGAGCAGG